RNAcentral lists this long non-coding RNA (2018 nucleotides) under Numida meleagris (helmeted guineafowl). RNAcentral's name for it is "lncRNA (ENSNMEG00000021045.1)". The record is from RNAcentral. Lineage: Eukaryota; Metazoa; Chordata; Aves; Galliformes; Numididae.
UGUUUUCAUUAUUAGAUAAGUGAAAUGAUUUUGAAACAUAGAAAAAUCUUAAUGAUCUAUUCAAAAUUUUUUCUUUUUCUUUUUUUUUUUUUUUUUGACAACAACUAAUACCAAAAUGUAAAGCCUGCUGGAUACUCUUUUCUUGGUAGAAGCAGCUUUCUUUUUACCUUCCAUUCCAUCUAUCGGCCAAUUUAUACCCUUGAAAACAUCAUUAUACUAACAUGCUGCAGAAUCAUUAAACAGACAGUAAUUUCCUCCCAUUUAGGCUAGCCAAUUGUGGAAAGCUUCAGAAGUGGAGAAAAACAUUUUUUUCCUCACUAAGUUACCCAGAAAGCCAAAUUUGACUGCUAACAAAGAGCUUUCAUUUGCUUGGCCCUACAUCAUGUUUCUAGGUCACUUACUGGAAGCUUCACCCAACUAACUGCUCUACUAGAAGCUCUGAAAGAGUCCAGGCACAGAAGCAUUGCUUCACUUGGAGCUUCUGUGGGGAAUCAGCUCUCCUCCCACCCAGCAAUUCCCUCUUGUGAUAGUUUCCUUCAGCUAUCAGAAAUGCAGGUUUCUAUUUGGCUUUAUUACUUUUCCAUUACAUUUCUCCUUUCUGCCAGUUUUUGGAGUUAAGUGAAAAAUACACUAUUCCAGAAAUUCAGAGGUGGAUGUGGAAAAACUAAGCAACGAAUUCAACGAGAUCAGUGUUUGACCAUCUGUUGCAGAAGUCAAUUAUUAUUAUUAUUUAACAUAGAGUAUUUUAUAUGUUUUCAUCAAGUGCUAGAUAUCAACAUGUGAUGUUGUCAACAGCUUGAGAAAAAGGGAGCAGGUGGCCUUCUGUGGACUUCAGUAUUGGAUGCAAGCAAACGUGAAAGUGAAAUGGAAUAGAAAGCAGCUUGUACACUGCUUCCAGUGGCAGAAGGAAGGCCUAAUCCAAAGUCCCCUAAAAUUACCAGAAGGGCCAACUUCUACCAGCCUCAGAGCCACCAAAAUUCUCUGCCAAUGGGAAAAGCCAGGCCUCUCAAGACAAUAAAUAUUAGUUUUUGCAUUUUCACAAAAAGCAAUCAAAAACACGAUGGGCCAGGGUAUUACUUGCUGUAGAAACUCCUCAAAAGAUGGAUUCUCUAUUUGAGCACCUAGUUUGAGUCCAUCAAAACAUGACCCAAAGGAAAGGAGUUGGGAUCAAGACAUACCCUUCUGUGGGUAAUGAUUUACAGCCAACAUCUACCUGCUGGAUCUGGUACUUGAAGCAAGUGUUCCUUGUUCCAUAGGCUUAGCAGGUGUUAGGAUUGACAUAAUUGAGCUAAGUCACUGUUAUCUUUAUUUACAUGCUUAAAUCCUUAAAUAGCAUUAUCAUUUUUGAAAUAGCUGUUUGUGAAACAAGCCACCAUCCCGACAAGUGUAACAGUGACGUGGUCUGGCUCACUGAAACCCACAGCAAAUUCUGAUGAUUUAAGCAGGAUAAGGAUGGAUAAGGACCAACACCACUCCUGGACAGAAAAAAUGCUCUGAACCUAUAGAGAUGGAACAGACUAAGGGGACAAAGACACUCCGACAACUUGCAGAGUAACAUACUACAGUCACAUCCAAGCAAAUCCACUAAGUUGUGGCCUGUAGCCUUUCAUCUACCACUCUAGGAUGGAUGUUUUAAUUCCAGCUUGCCCCAAUGAAAUCCAACCACUAUCUCAGCUUUGCAACCCAGCCAAAUAGGAGUCCUUGUGCCAUGGACUUGUCUGACACAAGCUAGAGCAGCUCCACUGACUUCAGCUAUAUUGCCUUCUGUAGAACUACACUAUUUUUUUUUUAAACACCAGUUGAGAUUCUGACCUUUUAAUUUUAAGAUCUGUUUAGUUUGCAUCAGUGAAUGGGUUAUCUCUAAUUAAAAUCAUUGCUGCGCUACAUAAUUACUCAGUAUAAUUUGAUGGCUGACUAAGACUAAUGAAAAAUUUGUCUCACUAACGGGUUGCACAAAGUUGAACUUUCCAGCAUUAAUCUUGGUAAAUUGAGAGGUAGUAAAGUGUGCCACGCAAGUA